RNAcentral lists this unclassified non-coding RNA (167 nucleotides) under uncultured Sebacina. RNAcentral describes it as "sequence contains ITS1". The record is from RNAcentral. Lineage: Eukaryota; Fungi; Basidiomycota; Agaricomycetes; Sebacinales; Sebacinaceae.
AAGAUUGCGAAUGGUUGCCUUCGGUGCUGGCUUUUGCAAGUGCACGUUGGUGGCUUUCAUCCAAUACCCCUGUGAACCUUUGGCCUCUUGCUAGCUUCGGCUGGCAGAGGAUUUUUACACACACCCAAAUGUAAUGAAAACUAUUGUCGUGCGCAAGCACUAAUGUA